AUGUAAUAAGGGAAAAUAAUGAUAGUACCUUACAUAUAGUGUUGUCAAAAUCUGGUGCCAGAAGACUCGGUAAGGCCAGAAACACAAACGUUAAUCCUCAUUUACAGGCGUAAAGGGUUUGUAGGCAGCUUUUUUAAAAAGAAUUAAUUAUUACAAAAAUUAUAAUAAUAAUAAUAAUAAUAAUAAUUUAUUCUUUUUUUAGAGCUAGAAUCAAAAAGAAGUUAAAACGUAUAAUACUUAGAGAAGGGUUAAUAUCCAUAGAUUCUAGGGGGAAUACUAUCGGUGUAAACAACUAACUAUAAAUGAUUGACGCUGAGAGACGAAGGGGAGGAUAGGAAACAGGAUUAGGUACCCAGGUACCCCUCUCUGUAAACGAUGAAUGGUAGUUAUUAGUAUAAAUUAGUAGCGAUGUUAACGCGUUAACCAUUCCGCCUUGGGAGUACGACUGCAAAGUUGAAAACAAAAAAAUUAGUCGGUCUCGAAGCAAACGGAGUGAAG
Molecule: ribosomal RNA, 498 nt
Filed under: Rhodofomitopsis feei
Lineage: Eukaryota; Fungi; Basidiomycota; Agaricomycetes; Polyporales; Fomitopsidaceae
Description: Fomitopsis feei partial small subunit ribosomal RNA
Rfam family: Bacterial small subunit ribosomal RNA
Source: RNAcentral